UUGCGAUGAUGUGACUUGGAAUUUCUUCACCUGAGAAUCAUCUUGAUGCUUUAUGAGCUUUUUAACCCUGAGCAAA
This is a non-coding RNA of Nerophis lumbriciformis (worm pipefish), 76 nucleotides long. The record is from RefSeq and is a predicted model, not a curated record. Lineage: Eukaryota; Metazoa; Chordata; Actinopteri; Syngnathiformes; Syngnathidae.